GUAUUUUGAAUUAAGUAAUUCAGAAAUAUCGUUUUUCAGACAAUUGGUUUAAUUAAAGAGUUGAUUAUAAAAAAAAAAACAUUGCACACAAGGUGGAUAUGGAUUUUUUUAAAAGUGCCAUAUAAAAUCACUUUUAUUGUGAAUGAUCCUUCCGCAGGUUCACCUACGGAAA
RNAcentral lists this unclassified non-coding RNA (172 nucleotides) under uncultured fungus. Its description in RNAcentral is "sequence contains ITS1". Lineage: Eukaryota; Fungi. The record is from RNAcentral.